RNAcentral lists this ribosomal RNA (881 nucleotides) under Tomatillo phytoplasma. RNAcentral describes it as "bacterial SSU rRNA". It matches the Rfam family "Bacterial small subunit ribosomal RNA", at positions 366 to 1254 of the family's 1533-position model. The record is from RNAcentral. RNAcentral also lists the same sequence under 1 other name. Lineage: Bacteria; Bacillati; Mycoplasmatota; Mollicutes; Acholeplasmatales; Acholeplasmataceae.
CGGCAAUGGAGGAAACUCUGACCGAGCAACGCCGCGUGAACGACGAAGUACUUUGGUAUGUAAAGUUCUUUUAUCAAGGAAGAAAAGCAAGUGGCGAACCAUUUGUUUGCCGGUACUUGAUGAAUAAGCCCCGGCUAAUUAUGUGCCAGCAGCCGCGGUAAGACAUAAGGGGCAAGUGUUAUCCGGAAUUAUUGGGCGUAAAGGGUGCGUAGGCGGUCUAGUAAGUCAGUGGUGUAACGGCAACGCUCAACGUUGUCCGGCUAUUGAAACUGCUAAACUUGAGUUAGAUAGAGGCGAGUGGAAUUCCAUGUGUAGCGGUAAAAUGCGUAAAUAUAUGGAGGAACACCAGAGGCGUAGGCGGCUCGCUGGGUCUUAACUGACGCUGAGGCACGAAAGCGUGGGGAGCAAACAGGAUUAGAUACCCUGGUAGUCCACGCCGUAAACGAUGAGUACUAAGUGUCGGGUUAAACCGGUACUGAAGUUAACACAUUAAGUACUCCGCCUGAGUAGUACGUACGCAAGUAUGAAACUUAAAGGAAUUGACGGGACUCUGCACAAGCGGUGGAUCAUGUUGUUUAAUUCGAAGAUACCCGAAAAACCUUACCAGGUCUUGACAUGUUUUUGCGAAACGGUAGUAAUAUCGUAGAGGUUAUCAGAAACACAGGUGGUGCAUGGUUGUCGUCAGCUCGUGUCGUGAGAUGUUAGGUUAAGUCCUAAAACGAGCGAAACCCUUAUCGUUAGUUGCCAGCACGUUAUGGUGGGGACUUUAACGAGACUGCCAGUGAUAAACUGGAGGAAGGUGAGGAUCACGUCAAAUCAGCAUGCCCCUUAUGACCUGGGCUACAAACGUGAUACAAUGGCUGUUACAAAGAGUAGCUGAA